AUAGCCUCUGGCUAUAGGAAAUUGUUAGUGGCAGACGGGUGAGUAAUGCGUAGGAAUCUACCUAGUAGUACGGAAUAGCCAUUAGAAAUGGUGGGUAAUACUGUAUAAUCCCCGAGGGGGAAAGAUUUAUCGCUAUUAGAUGAGCCUACGUUAGAUUAGCUAGUUGGUGAGGUAAUGGCUUACCAAGGCUAUGAUCUAUAGCUGGUCUGAGAGGACGAUCAGCCACACUGGAACUGAGAUACGGUCCAGACUCCUACGGGAGGCAGCAGUGGGGAAUAUUGGACAAUGGGCGAAAGCCUGAUCCAGCUAUGCCGCGUGAGUGAAGAAGGCCUUCGGGUUGUAAAACUCUUUCAAUAGGGAAGAUAAUGACGG
RNAcentral lists this ribosomal RNA (372 nucleotides) under Ehrlichia canis. RNAcentral's name for it is "bacterial SSU rRNA". It matches the Rfam family "Bacterial small subunit ribosomal RNA", at positions 73 to 457 of the family's 1533-position model. Lineage: Bacteria; Pseudomonadati; Pseudomonadota; Alphaproteobacteria; Rickettsiales; Anaplasmataceae. The record is from RNAcentral.